GCUCCCUGAUUCAGCGGCGGACGGGUGAGUAAUGCCUAGGAAUCUGCCUGGUAGUGGGGGACAACGUUUCGAAAGGAACGCUAAUACCGCAUACGUCCUACGGGAGAAAGCAGGGGACCUUCGCGCCUUGCGCUAUCAGAUGAGCCUAGGUCGGAUUAGCUAGUUGGUGAGGUAAUGGCUCACCAAGGCUGCGAUCCGUAACUGGUCUGAGAGGAUGAUCAGUCACACUGGAACUGAGACACGGUCCAGACUCCUACGGGAGGCAGCAGUGGGGAAUAUUGGACAAUGGGCGAAAGCCUGAUCCAGCCAUGCCGCGUGUGUGAAGAAGGUCUUCGGAUUGUAAAGCACUUUAAGUUGGGAGGAAGGGCAGUAAGUUAAUACCUUGCUGUUUUGACGUUACCGACAGAAUAAGCACCGGCUAACUUCGUGCCAGCAGCCGGGGUAAUACGAAGGGUGCAAGCGUUAAUCGGAAUUACUGGGCGUAAAGCGCGCGUAGGUGGUUUGUUAAGUUGGAAGUGAAAGCCCCGGGCUCAACCUGGGAACUGCUUUCAAAACUGGCAAGCUAGAGUAUGGCAGAGGGUGGUGGAAUUUCCUGUGUAGCGGUGAAAUGCGUAGAUAUAGGAAGGAACACCAGUGGCGAAGGCGACCACCUGGGCUAAUACUGACACUGAGGUGCGAAAGC
RNAcentral lists this ribosomal RNA (682 nucleotides) under Stutzerimonas stutzeri. RNAcentral describes it as "bacterial SSU rRNA". It matches the Rfam family "Bacterial small subunit ribosomal RNA", at positions 82 to 760 of the family's 1533-position model. The record is from RNAcentral. Lineage: Bacteria; Pseudomonadati; Pseudomonadota; Gammaproteobacteria; Pseudomonadales; Pseudomonadaceae.